AAGCUCGUAGUUGAAUUUCGAGAUCAGUACGCUGGUCGUGCCUUCGGUAUGCACUGGUGUCACUGGUUUCUCCCUUCUGAAGAACCGUCAUGUCAUUAAGUUGGUGUGGCGGGGAAUCAGGACUGUUACUUUGAAAAAAUUAGAGUGUUUAAAGCAGGCUCGCGCUUGAAUACAUUAGCAUGGAAUAAUGAAAUAGGACGUUUGACCCUAUUUUGUUGGUUUCUAGGAUCGACGUAAUGAUUAAUAGGGAUAGUUGGG
This 258-nucleotide ribosomal RNA is filed under the name uncultured Glomus. RNAcentral's name for it is "partial 18S ribosomal RNA". It matches the Rfam family "Eukaryotic small subunit ribosomal RNA", at positions 624 to 886 of the family's 1831-position model. Lineage: Eukaryota; Fungi; Glomeromycota; Glomeromycetes; Glomerales; Glomeraceae. The record is from RNAcentral. RNAcentral also lists the same sequence under 1 other name.